RNAcentral lists this ribosomal RNA (514 nucleotides) under Alpheus thomasi. Its description in RNAcentral is "partial 16S ribosomal RNA". It matches the Rfam family "Bacterial large subunit ribosomal RNA", at positions 1829 to 2600 of the family's 2925-position model. Lineage: Eukaryota; Metazoa; Arthropoda; Malacostraca; Decapoda; Alpheidae. The record is from RNAcentral.
UCUUCACUGAGAUUAGAUAUGAAGUCUGGCCUGCCCACUGAUGAAUAAUUAAAGGGCCGCGGUAUUCUAACCGUGCGAAGGUAGCAUAGUCAAUAGUCUUUUAAUUGGGGGCUUGAAUGAAUGGUCGGACGUGAAGGAGUCUGUCUUAGCCCAGGGUAGUGAAGUUAACUUUUGUGUGAAAAGGCAUGAAUGACUUGGGGGGACGAUAAGACCCUAUAAAACUUGAUGGUUGGGUUGUUAAGUCUUCGAUUUGUUGGUAAAGGGGGCUUGGCGGAGUAUCAUUGUGCUGGGGCGGCAGGAAUAUAGGUGGUAACUGUUCUUAAAAUAAAAUGACUAUAAUCAGACUCUGACCCUGGAUUAGAGGUUAAAAGUGUAAGUUACUUUAGGGAUAACAGCGUUAUUUCUCUUGAGAGUCCAUAUCGACAGAGAUGUUUGCGACCUCGAUGUUGAAUUAAAGCUUCCUUCGGGGGUAGCAGUUCGGGGGGCAGGUCUGUUCGACCUUUAAAGUUUUACA